Molecule: ribosomal RNA, 539 nt
Filed under: Bacillus sp. 6-3
Lineage: Bacteria; Bacillati; Bacillota; Bacilli; Caryophanales; Bacillaceae
Description: bacterial SSU rRNA
Rfam family: Bacterial small subunit ribosomal RNA
Source: RNAcentral
CAAGUCCAGCGAAUGGAUUAAGAGCUUGCUCUUAUGAAGUUAGCGGCGGACGGGUGAGUAACACGUGGGUAACCUGCCCAUAAGACUGGGAUAACUCCGGGAAACCGGGGCUAAUACCGGAUAAUAUUUUGAACCUGCAUGGUUCGAAAUUGAAAGGCGGCUUCGGCUGUCACUUAUGGAUGGACCCGCGUCGCAUUAGCUAGUUGGUGAGGUAACGGCUCACCAAGGCAACGAUGCGUAGCCGACCUGAGAGGGUGAUCGGCCACACUGGGACUGAGACACGGCCCAGACUCCUACGGGAGGCAGCAGUAGGGAAUCUUCCGCAAUGGACGAAAGUCUGACGGAGCAACGCCGCGUGAGUGAUGAAGGCUUUCGGGUCGUAAAACUCUGUUGUUAGGGAAGAACAAGUGCUAGUUGAAUAAGCUGGCACCUUGACGGUACCUAACCAGAAAGCCACGGCUAACUACGUACCAGCAGCCGCGGUAAUACUAGUGGCAAGCGUUAUCCGGAAUUAUUGGGCGUAAAGCGCGCGCAGGUGG